Molecule: unclassified non-coding RNA, 200 nt
Filed under: soil metagenome
Description: partial contains internal transcribed spacer 2 and large subunit ribosomal RNA
Source: RNAcentral
GCGGGCCAGCUCCUCUCAAAUGAAUCAGCUUGCCAGUGUUUGGUGGCAUCGCAGGUGUGAUAACUAUCUACGCUUGUGGUGUCCUGCCAGGCAACCUUCAGUGAUGGAGGUUCACUGGAGCUCAUAAAUGUCUCUCCUCAGCGAGGACAGCCUUUUGAAUGUUUGAUCUCAAAUCAGGUAGGACUACCCGCUGAACUUAA